Molecule: ribosomal RNA, 486 nt
Filed under: uncultured bacterium
Lineage: Bacteria
Description: partial 16S ribosomal RNA
Rfam family: Bacterial small subunit ribosomal RNA
Source: RNAcentral
AUUGAACGCUGGCGGCAUGCUUUACACAUGCAAGUCGAGCGGCAGCGCGGGGGCAACCCUGGCGGCGAGCGGCGAACGGGUGAGUAAUGCAUCGGAACGUAUCCUCGAGUGGGGGAUAACCCAGCGAAAGUUGGGCUAAUACCGAAUGAGCUCUGAGGAGGAAAGCGGGGGACCUGCGAGGGCCUCGCGCUGGAGGAGCGGCCGAUGUCCGAUUAGCUAGUUGGUGGGGUAAAGGCUUACCAAGGCGACGAUCGGUAGCUGGUCUGAGAGGAUGAUCAGCCACACUGGGACUGAGACACGGCCCAGACUCCUACGGGAGGCAGCAGUGGGGAAUUUUGGACAAUGGGGGCAACCCUGAUCCAGCCAUGCCGCGUGAGUGAAGAAGGCCUUCGGGUUGUAAAGCUCUUUCGGACGGAACGAAAUGGGCGGGACUAAUACUCCUGUCUGAUGACGGUACCGUAAGAAGAAGCACCGGCUAACUACGUG